RNAcentral lists this ribosomal RNA (395 nucleotides) under uncultured bacterium. RNAcentral's name for it is "bacterial SSU rRNA". It matches the Rfam family "Bacterial small subunit ribosomal RNA", at positions 997 to 1393 of the family's 1533-position model. The record is from RNAcentral.
GGCUGAGAGAUCAGCUGUUCCCUUCGGGGACAGAAUGACAGGUGGUGCAUGGUUGUCGUCAGCUCGUGUCGUGAGAUGUUGGGUUAAGUCCCGCAGCGAGCGCAACCCUUAUGAUCAGUUGCCAGCAUUCAGUUGGGCACUCUGGUCAGACUGCCGGUGACAAACCGGAGGAAGGCGGGGAUGACGUCAAAUCAUCAUGCCCCUUAUGACCUGGGCUACACACGUGCUACAAUGGGUGGUACAACGAGCAGCGAGACCGCGAGGUCAAGCGAAUCUCUAAAAACCAUCCUCAGUUCGGAUUGCAGGCUGUAACUCGCCUGCAUGAAGCUGGAAUCGCUAGUAAUCGCGGAUCAGCACGCCGCGGUGAAUACGUUCCCGGGUCUUGUACACACCGA